GGGGAUUUGGCUCAGUGGUAGAGCGCUUACCUAGCAAGCGCAAGGCCCUGGGUUCGAUCCCCAGCUCCG
Non-coding RNA from Rattus norvegicus (Norway rat), 69 nucleotides. NCBI's taxonomy places the organism in Eukaryota, Metazoa, Chordata, Mammalia, Rodentia, Muridae. The record is from Rfam.